GGGGCCAUAGCUCAGCUGGGAGAGCACUACGCUGGCAGCGUAGAGGUCAGGGGUUCGAGCCCCCUUGGCUCCA
RNAcentral lists this transfer RNA (73 nucleotides) under Bacillus subtilis. RNAcentral describes it as "tRNA-Ala". It matches the Rfam family "tRNA". From Rfam's summary of the family: Transfer RNA (tRNA) molecules are approximately 80 nucleotides in length. Their secondary structure includes four short double-helical elements and three loops (D, anti-codon, and T loops). Lineage: Bacteria; Bacillati; Bacillota; Bacilli; Caryophanales; Bacillaceae. The record is from RNAcentral.